CAGCAGCCGCGGGAAUACGUAGGGUGCAAGCGUUAAUCGGAAUUACUGGGCGUAAAGCGUGCGCAGGCGGUUCUAUAAGACAGAUGUGAAAUCCCCGGGCUCAACCUGGGAACUGCAUUUGUGACUGUAGAGCUGGAGUACGGCAGAGGGGGAUGGAAUUCCGCGUGUAGCAGUGAAAUGCGUAGAUAUGCGGAGGAACACCGAUGGCGAAGGCAAUCCCCUGGGCCUGUACUGACGCUCAUGCACGAAAGCGUGGGGAGCAAACAGGAUUAGAUACCCCCGUAGUCCCUGUCUCUUAUAC
This 301-nucleotide ribosomal RNA is filed under the name uncultured bacterium. RNAcentral's name for it is "partial 16S ribosomal RNA". It matches the Rfam family "Bacterial small subunit ribosomal RNA", at positions 509 to 807 of the family's 1533-position model. The record is from RNAcentral.